Molecule: ribosomal RNA, 567 nt
Filed under: uncultured Actinomycetes bacterium
Lineage: Bacteria; Bacillati; Actinomycetota; Actinomycetes
Description: bacterial SSU rRNA
Rfam family: Bacterial small subunit ribosomal RNA
Source: RNAcentral
CCUACGGGAGGCAGCAGUGGGGAAUAUUGGGCAAUGGACGCAAGUCUGACCCAGCGACGCCGCGUGAGGGAUGAAGGCCUUCGGAUUGUAAACCUCUUUCAGUAGGGAAGAAGCGAAAGUGACGGUACCUAAAGAAGAAGCACCGGCUAACUAUGUGCCAGCAGCCGCGGUAAUACAUAGGGUGCAAGCGUUGUCCGGAAUUAUUGGGCGUAAAGAGCUCGUAGGUUGUUUGUCGCGUCGAUUGUGAAAAUCUGAGGCUCAACCUCAGACCUGCAGUCGAUACGGGCAGACUAGAGUGUGGUAGGGGAGACUGGAAUUCCUGGUGUAGCGGUGGAAUGCGCAGAUAUCAGGAGGAACACCAAUGGCGAAGGCAGGUCUCUGGGCCAUAACUGACACUGAGGAGCGAAAGUGCGGGGAGCGAACAGGAUUAGAUACCCUGGUAGUCCGCACCGUAAACGGUGGGCACUAGUUGUGGGAACCUUCCACGGUUUCCGCGACGCAGCAAACGCAUUAAGUGCCCCGCCUGGGGAGUACGAUCGCAAGAUUAAAACUCAAAGGAAUUGACGG